Molecule: non-coding RNA, 30 nt
Filed under: Homo sapiens (human)
Lineage: Eukaryota; Metazoa; Chordata; Mammalia; Primates; Hominidae
Source: RNAcentral
UGACACACCACUGAUGCCAAGUGUCUGGGU